UCGAGAAUCUUCCGCAAUGGGCGAAAGCCUGACGGAGCGACGCCGCGUGGUGGAUGAAGUCCUUAGGGACGUAAACACCUUUUAUGAGGGAGAUGUUACCUCAUGAAUAAGGGGCUCCCAACUCUGUGCCAGCGGGAGCGGUAAUACAGAGGCCCCAAGCAUUAUCCGGAUUUACUGGGGUAAAGGGUGCGUAGGCGGUUAUAUUAGUCGGGUGUAAAUCCUGAGGCUCAACCUCAGGCUCGCAUUCGAAACGGUAUAACUAAAGGAGUCAGAGGCAAGCAGAACUCAUGGUGUAGGGGUGAAAUCCGUUGAUAUCAUGGGGAAUACCAAAUGCGAAGGCAGCUUGCUGGGACUUUCUUGACGCUGAGGCACGAAAGCGUGGGUAGCGAAUCGGAUUAGAUACCCCAGUAGU
RNAcentral lists this ribosomal RNA (412 nucleotides) under uncultured bacterium. Its description in RNAcentral is "bacterial SSU rRNA". It matches the Rfam family "Bacterial small subunit ribosomal RNA", at positions 355 to 794 of the family's 1533-position model. The record is from RNAcentral.